GUGACUUUUGUCUCCGAGACCAGCUGGGUAUUCGGGUUUGGUGUACAUUAAUAUUGGACUUUAGGCUGCCAGGAUUGGGGACGAUCAGUAGUGGGGGCCAACCCAGUGGUGGUGGGUAUCCAGAGUUCACCUUUAUGGUAGUGUAGCGUCACUUGGGUGUACAGUGCAGUGUAGAUCACGUGUGGUCCUUUCAACCCACUCCGUAAGUACGGUCCUCCUGCUGGUAAGCCCUCUCGUGCCUUUCUUCUUUUAUUAUUUUGAUUUUCUAGUAUUGGUGUUUGUUCUGUAUGUUUGGUAUGUUGACGUGUUAUUCUGGUGGGCUUACCUCUAACCAUACCCGCAGUAGUGUGUAAAUAAGUGAGUAUAUGUGUGUGUGUUUGGGUGUAACCAUUUUAACAAAAGAUUUAAGAAUAUAUUGUGAAUACGCUUGAAAGUAAAUAAAUAUGUAUACGAUUAGAAAUAGAA
Molecule: long non-coding RNA, 465 nt
Organism: Trichomycterus rosablanca
Lineage: Eukaryota; Metazoa; Chordata; Actinopteri; Siluriformes; Trichomycteridae
Exons: 2
Source: RefSeq, a predicted model, not a curated record